UACGGAGGGUGCAAGCGUUGUCCGGAUUUAUUGGGUUUAAAGGGUGCGUAGGCGGCUUAUUAAGUCAGGGGUGAAAGACUGCAGCUCAACUGUAGCAGUGCCUUUGAUACUGAUGAGCUUGAGUACAGAUGAGGCCGGCGGAAUGGGUGGUGUAGCGGUGAAAUGCAUAGAUACCAUCCAGAACACCGAUUGCGAAGGCAGCCGGCUAAACUGUAACUGACGCUGAGGCACGAAAGCGUGGGGAUCGAAC
RNAcentral lists this ribosomal RNA (250 nucleotides) under uncultured bacterium. RNAcentral's name for it is "partial 16S ribosomal RNA". It matches the Rfam family "Bacterial small subunit ribosomal RNA", at positions 524 to 773 of the family's 1533-position model. The record is from RNAcentral.